UAGUACAAAUUUCAUCCAUUUCUACUAUUAAAAACUGGUGUUGUUGAUAGAAUAAUAAGACAGUUUACACGUGACGUGCUACGUACACCACAUUUUGAAGUAAAAAAGACCAAUUUUUAACAGUAGAACUUGAUGGAAUUUUUAACA
This is a non-coding RNA of Gossypium raimondii (Peruvian cotton), 147 nucleotides long. NCBI's taxonomy places the organism in Eukaryota, Viridiplantae, Streptophyta, Magnoliopsida, Malvales, Malvaceae. The record is from Rfam.